Molecule: ribosomal RNA, 253 nt
Filed under: uncultured bacterium
Lineage: Bacteria
Description: partial 16S ribosomal RNA
Rfam family: Bacterial small subunit ribosomal RNA
Source: RNAcentral
UACAGAGGUGGCAAGCGUUGUUCGGAAUUACUGGGCGUAAAGGGCGCGUAGGCGGCCUACUAAGUCAGACGUGAAAUCCCCCGGCUUAACCUGGGAACUGCGUCUGAUACUGGAAGGCUUGAGGAUGGGAGAGGGAUGUAGAAUUCCAGGUGUAGCGGUGAAAUGCGUAGAUAUCUGGAGGAAUACCGGUGGCGAAGGCGGCAUCCUGGACCAUUACUGACGCUGAGGCGCGAAAGCCAGGGGAGCAAACGGG